AAGGAAGUGGCAGAUUGGUAUGUAAUUGAUUUGAAAUCAAAUUAAGGGGGUUCAAUU
RNAcentral lists this transfer RNA (57 nucleotides) under Oedipina tomasi. RNAcentral's name for it is "tRNA-Ser". The record is from RNAcentral. Lineage: Eukaryota; Metazoa; Chordata; Amphibia; Caudata; Plethodontidae.